This 18-nucleotide small nuclear RNA is filed under the name Arabidopsis thaliana (thale cress). Its description in RNAcentral is "snRNA_00945". The record is from RNAcentral. Lineage: Eukaryota; Viridiplantae; Streptophyta; Magnoliopsida; Brassicales; Brassicaceae.
UAGUACUAGGAUGGGUGA